UGGUUUGUUAAGUCAGAUGUGAAAGCCCGGGGCUCAACCUCGGAAUAGCAUUUGAAACUGGCAGACUAGAGUACUGUAGAGGGGGGUAGGAAUUUCAGGUGUAGCGGUGAAAUGCGUAGAGAUCUGAAGGAAUACCGGUGGCGAAGGCGGCCCCCUGGACAGAUACUGACACUCAGAUGCGAAAGCGUGGGGAGCAAACAGGAUUAGAUACCCUGGUAG
This 219-nucleotide ribosomal RNA is filed under the name uncultured bacterium. RNAcentral's name for it is "partial 16S ribosomal RNA". It matches the Rfam family "Bacterial small subunit ribosomal RNA", at positions 576 to 793 of the family's 1533-position model. The record is from RNAcentral.